RNAcentral lists this long non-coding RNA (239 nucleotides) under Lathyrus oleraceus (garden pea). Its description in RNAcentral is "Pisum sativum (pea) long non-coding RNA (PSAT_LNC025648)". The record is from RNAcentral. Lineage: Eukaryota; Viridiplantae; Streptophyta; Magnoliopsida; Fabales; Fabaceae.
UUACUUACUGGGGAAGGCCAAUAAGUGUCCCCGCUUGGGGAAAUGAAUUAGUAUAGCUAUGGGUUGGACCUCUAAAGGCGGUCACAAAUCCUAUAUCAUGUAUUCAUGCUUAUGUGUAUGCAUGAUGUAUAUGUUUUAUGCAUGAUGCAUUAUUUGGGAUAACGCCUCUUUUAUGAUAUACAUGAUGAAUAUGUGACUUUGUGGGAACCAAUGUUCUCACGACGUUCUGAGUUUCUGAC